Molecule: ribosomal RNA, 814 nt
Filed under: Oenococcus oeni
Lineage: Bacteria; Bacillati; Bacillota; Bacilli; Lactobacillales; Lactobacillaceae
Description: bacterial SSU rRNA
Rfam family: Bacterial small subunit ribosomal RNA
Source: RNAcentral
UUGCUAGAUCGUAACUGACGUUGAGGCUCGAAAGUAUGGGUAGCAAACGGGAUUAGAUACCCCGGUAGUCCAUACCGUAAACGAUGGGUGCUAGUUGUUAAGAGGUUUCCGCCUCCUAGUGACGUAGCAAACGCAUUAAGCACCCCGCCUGAGGAGUACGGCCGCAAGGCUAAAACCUAAAGGAAUUGACGGGGACCCGCACAAGCGGUGGAGCAUGUGGUUUAAUUCGAAGAUACGCGAAAAACCUUACCAGGUCUUGACAUACCAAUGAUCGCUUUUGUAAUGAAAGCUUUUCUUCGGAACAUUGGAUACAGGUGGUGCAUGGUCGUCGUCAGUUCGUGUCGUGAGAUGUUGGGUUAAGUCCCGCAACGAGCGCAACCCUUGUUAUUAGUUGCCAGCAUUUAGUUGGGCACUCUAAUGAGACUGCCGGUGAUAAACCGGAGGAAGGUGGGGACGACGUCAGAUCAUCAUGCCCCUUAUGACCUGGGCAACACACGUGCUACAAUGGGAAGUACAACGAGUCGCAAACCGGCGACGGUAAGCUAAUCUCUUAAAACUUCUCUCAGUUCGGACUGGAGUCUGCAACUCGACUCCACGAAGGCGGAAUCGCUAGUAAUCGCGAAUCAGCAUGUCGCGGUGAAUACGUUCCCGGGUCUUGUACACACCGCCCGUCAAAUCAUGGGAGUCGGAAGUACCCAAAGUCGCUUGGCUAACUUUUAGAGGCCGGUGCCUAAGGUAAAAUCGAUGACUGGGAUUAAGUCGUAACAAGGUAGCCGUAGGAGAACCUGCGGCUGGAUCACCUCCUUUCUAAGGA